UACCUCACUUCUUGCCGGAGACAAUCGUCUCCUCCCCUGUUUCACGCUCCGCACACUCCCAUCCUCCUGAGGCACCUCACUUCCUGCCGUCUCCGAUUUCUCCUCAUGUAAUUGCUCUAGAACUUCCUGUCCUUUAGUAAGUGCUUCCUGACAUCUGCCAUCUGUAAGGCAACUACGGACCAUUUUCCAAAGGGGUAUCACCCCACCCUCUAAUAUGCCCUGCUCAGAAGCAAAGUCAAGAUCUUUGCCUAAUUUAUCCCAACUAGGUACAGUAAGGCUGCCCGAAAAUGCAAACCACGGUGCAGCGAUAUCUAUCUUCUGUAAAAAUCUCUGUAAAGUACUAUGUUUCACUUCCAGGCCCUUGGAACGUAACAGGCCAUCUAGGGCCAGGAGAAGCGGACUUGAAGAUGCGGCACCCAUGACACAACAACAAAAGAAGCACAAAAAACAAAAGCGAAAUGACACAACAAAAGAAACACAGAAAACAAAAGCGAAAGUAGAAGCGAAAGUACACAGUGCAGCUGCAAUAAAAUGUAAUGCUCUCUCUUUCUUUACAGAGGAGCUGCCCCGCUUUGGUCGCGGAUCCCACUUAUUGGGACUAACCCCGCUUUGGUCGUGGAUCCCACUUACCUGGGACUAACCGGUGCACCACCCCUGACUGCUGAAAGUUCUGGUUCCCGGGUUUCGGCACCACUUGUUGUGACCCCUUGCCCGCAAGGAAGACGCAACUCAGGAAUCUUCUUUCAGCAGUUUAUUCAGGCCCUUGAUAUUUCUUCUUCUCCCUCUCGGAUGCCCCUCCCAGCCUUAAUAAAGCAUCUCAAGCCCCAAUGCGAAGCUGCCACGUGGAGCUUUCUCAUAGGGUGGUGAAAAACCAUGCGCCAACUCUCCCAAAUAAGGAGUUGUUUGUCACAGACCACAGCGGAGCCAGCGCCAUCUUGUAAUGGCGACCAUAGUCUGCAGAAACGGCAGAAGCGGCUCACCACAAUUAUAAACUUAUAAGGAUAAUGGAUUUUAUUGGGGAUUUAUUUAUAUUAUUUGAUGUUUUGUAACCAAACCUUAUAUUACCGUUUACAUUGAGAUAUAAAAAUUUAAAGGUAUUUGUUGGAGGCCUCGACCAAGUCAAGAUGGCCUCUGGCAGUUUGCCAGGAGGAGUGGCUUGUGAGGCAAUGCCACCGAGCCAUCAAGAUGGUGAGGACUCCUUAUUGGCUGAUUACUGUAUCUGUAGGGGAGCAAUGCUAUGAUUGGAUGAUGCUGAUUGAGCCAUGCUUUAUGUAAAUC
This 1278-nucleotide long non-coding RNA is filed under the name Marmota monax (woodchuck). Lineage: Eukaryota; Metazoa; Chordata; Mammalia; Rodentia; Sciuridae. The record is from RNAcentral.